RNAcentral lists this ribosomal RNA (606 nucleotides) under Triticum aestivum (bread wheat). RNAcentral's name for it is "partial small subunit ribosomal RNA". Lineage: Eukaryota; Viridiplantae; Streptophyta; Magnoliopsida; Poales; Poaceae. The record is from RNAcentral.
AUGCCACACUCGGUGACGAUUCAAUUGACCGGCGCAUGCGUCCGACAAGAUCAAGCGUUGCCGGGGCAGCCGGAGGGCGUCGACUUCGACCAAUACGGUGGGUACGUGAUCGUCGACGAGGAGAACGGCCGCGCCCUCUUCUACUACCUCGUGGAGUCAGCUUCAGAGAAGCCACUCCUGCUAUGGCUCAAUGGAGGGCCAGGGUGCUCGUCGCUGGGGUACGGAGCAAUGCAGGAGCUGGGCCCGUUCCGUGUAACCGAAGACAACAGGACGCUCAGCAGAAACAUGCACGCCUGGAACAGCGUGGCUAACAUGAUCUUCCUGGAGUCGCCAGCCGGUGUGGGAUUCUCUUACUCCAACACGUCUGCGGACUACGACCUCAGUGGCGACCAGCGAACCGCCGCCGACGCGUACGUCUUCCUGGUGAGAUGGCUGGAGAGGUUCCCGGAGUACAAGGACCGCGCCUUCUACAUCUCCGACGAGAGCUACACCGGCCACUACGCGCCACAGCUCGUCGUUACCAUCCUACUCCACAACACAUGCAACAACAGAAGCAUCAUAAACCUUCAGGGCAUCUUGGUAGGUCAAAUUUACUACCAGCUAUAG